Molecule: ribosomal RNA, 253 nt
Filed under: uncultured bacterium
Lineage: Bacteria
Description: partial 16S ribosomal RNA
Rfam family: Bacterial small subunit ribosomal RNA
Source: RNAcentral
GACAGAGGUGCCGAGCGUUAGGCGGAAUCACUGGGCUUAAAGCGUGUGUAGGCGGGUCGUUAAGUGUCUUGUGGAAUCCCACCGCUCAACGGUGGAACUGCUGGGCAUACUGGCGAUCUUGAGCCACCUAGGGGCAGACGGAACAAGCGGUGGAGCGGUGAAAUGCGUAGAUAUCGCUUGGAACGCCGACGGUGAAAACAGUCUGCUGGGGGUGUGCUGACGCUGAGACACGAAAGCCAGGGGAGCGAACGGG